This 85-nucleotide transfer RNA is filed under the name Clostridia bacterium. RNAcentral describes it as "tRNA-Tyr". It matches the Rfam family "tRNA". Rfam says of the family: Transfer RNA (tRNA) molecules are approximately 80 nucleotides in length. Lineage: Bacteria; Bacillati; Bacillota; Clostridia. The record is from RNAcentral.
GGGAGAUUUCCCGAGCGGUCAAAGGGGGCAGACUGUAAAUCUGUUGCGUUAUGCUUCGGUGGUUCGAAUCCACCAUCUCCCACCA